ACCUGGCUGGCUCAGUUGGUGGAGCAUGCAACUUUUGAUUUGGGGGUUGUGGGUUCAAGCCCUACGUCAGGUG
This 73-nucleotide transfer RNA is filed under the name Ailuropoda melanoleuca (giant panda). It matches the Rfam family "tRNA". Rfam says of the family: Transfer RNA (tRNA) molecules are approximately 80 nucleotides in length. Their secondary structure includes four short double-helical elements and three loops (D, anti-codon, and T loops). The record is from Rfam by way of RNAcentral. Lineage: Eukaryota; Metazoa; Chordata; Mammalia; Carnivora; Ursidae.